GACUACUGGGGUAUCUAAUCCCAUUCGCUCCCCUAGCUUUCGUCCAUGAGUGUCAGUUGCGGCCUAGCAGAGCGCUUUCGCCACCGGUGUUCUUCCCAAUCUCUACGCAUUUCACCGCUACACUGGGAAUUCCCUCUGCCCCCACCGCACUCUAGCUGUGUAGUUUCCACUGCCUGUUCAGGGUUGAGCCCUGACCUUUGACAGCAGACUUACACGGCCACCUGCGGACGCUUUACGCCCAAUCAUUCCGGAUAACGCUUGCAUCCUCCGUAUUACCGCGGCUGCUGGCACGGAGUUAGCCGAUGCUGAUUCCUCAGGUACCGUCAUUGUGUUCUUCCCUGAGAAAAGAGGUUUACGACCCAAGAGCCUUCCUCCCCCACGCGGUAUUGCUCCGUCAGGCUUGCGCCCAUUGCGGAAAAUUCCCCACUGCUGCCUCCCGUAGGAGUCUGGGCCGUGUCUCAGUCCCAGUGUGACUGGUCAUCCUCUCAGACCAGUUACUGAUCGGAGCCUUGGUAGGCCUUUACCCUACCAACUAGCUAAUCAGACGCGAGCUCAUCAAAAGGCGGGUUACCCCUUUUCACUUUCUGGCAUAUCUGGUAUUAGCAGCCGUUUCCAGCUGUUGUCCCAGUCCUUUAGGCAGAUUCUCACGCGUUACUCACCCGUCCG
RNAcentral lists this ribosomal RNA (666 nucleotides) under uncultured cyanobacterium. Its description in RNAcentral is "partial 16S ribosomal RNA". Lineage: Bacteria; Bacillati; Cyanobacteriota. The record is from RNAcentral.